UACGUAGGGCGCAAGCGUUGUCCGGAAUUAUUGGGCGUAAAGAGCUCGUAGGCGGCUUGUCACGUCGGGUGUGAAAGCCCGGGGCUUAACCUCGGGUCUGCAUUCGAUACGGGCUGGCUAGAGUGUGGUAGGGGAGAUCGGAAUUCCUGGUGUAGCGGUGAAAUGCGCAGAUAUCAGGAGGAACACCGGUGGCGAAGGCGGAUCUCUGGGCCAUUACUGACGCUGAGGAGCGAAAGCGUGGGGAGCGAACAGG
RNAcentral lists this ribosomal RNA (253 nucleotides) under uncultured bacterium. Its description in RNAcentral is "partial 16S ribosomal RNA". It matches the Rfam family "Bacterial small subunit ribosomal RNA", at positions 524 to 776 of the family's 1533-position model. The record is from RNAcentral.